GAUGAACGCUGGCGGCGUGCCUAAUACAUGCAAGUCGAGCGAACAGACAAGGAGCUUGCUCCUUUGACGUUAGCGGCGGACGGGUGAGUAACACGUGGGUAACCUACCUAUAAGACUGGGAUAACUUCGGGAAACCGGAGCUAAUACCGGAUAAUAUUUCGAACCGCAUGGUUCGAUAGUGAAAGAUGGUUUUGCUAUCACUUAUAGAUGGACCCGCGCCGUAUUAGCUAGUUGGUAAGGUAACGGCUUACCAAGGCGACGAUACGUAGCCGACCUGAGAGGGUGAUCGGCCACACUGGAACUGAGACACGGUCCAGACUCCUACGGGAGGCAGCAGUAGGGAAUCUUCCGCAAUGGGCGAAAGCCUGACGGAGCAACGCCGCGUGAGUGAUGAAGGUCUUCGGAUCGUAAAACUCUGUUAUUAGGGAAGAACAUACAUGUAAGUAACUAUGCACGUCUUGACGGUACCUAAUCAGAAAGCCACGGCUAACUACGUGCCAGCAGCCGCGGUAAUACGUAGGUGGCAAGCGUUAUCCGGAAUUAUUGGGCGUAAAGCGCGCGUAGGCGGUUUUUUAAGUCUGAUGUGAAAGCCCACGGCUCAACCGUGGAGGGUCAUUGGAAACUGGAAAACUUGAGUGCAGAAGAGGAAAGUGGAAUUCCAUGUGUAGCGGUGAAAUGCGCAGAGAUAUGGAGGAACACCAGUGGCGAAGGCGACUUUCUGGUCUGUAACUGACGCUGAUGUGCGAAAGCGUGGGGAUCAAACAGGAUUAGAUACCCUGGUAGUCCACGCCGUAAACGAUGAGUGCUAAGUGUUAGGGGGUUUCCGCCCCUUAGUGCUGCAGCUAACGCAUUAAGCACUCCGCCUGGGGAGUACGACCGCAAGGUUGAAACUCAAAGGAGUUGACGGGGACCCGCACAAGCGGUGGAGCAUGUGGUUUAAUUCGAAGCAACGCGAAGAACCUUACCAAAUCUUGACAUCCUUUGACAACUCUAGAGAUAGAGCCUUCCCCUUCGGGGGACAAAGUGACAGGUGGUGCAUGGUUGUCGUCAGCUCGUGUCGUGAGAUGUUGGGUUAAGUCCCGCAACGAGCGCAACCCUUAAGCUUAGUUGCCAUCAUUAAGUUGGGCACUCUAAGUUGACUGCCGGUGACAAACCGGAGGAAGGUGGGGAUGACGUCAAAUCAUCAUGCCCCUUAUGAUUUGGGCUACACACGUGCUACAAUGGACAAUACAGAGGGCAGCGAAACCGCGAGGUCAAGCAAAUCCCAUAAAGUUGUUCUCAGUUCGGAUUGUAGUCUGCAACUCGACUACAUGAAGCUGGAAUCGCUAGUAAUCGUAGAUCAGCAUGCUACGGUGAAUACGUUCCCGGGUCU
RNAcentral lists this ribosomal RNA (1372 nucleotides) under uncultured bacterium. RNAcentral describes it as "bacterial SSU rRNA". It matches the Rfam family "Bacterial small subunit ribosomal RNA", at positions 28 to 1381 of the family's 1533-position model. The record is from RNAcentral.